Strongyloides papillosus is the source of this 45-nucleotide non-coding RNA. The record is from Rfam. NCBI's taxonomy places the organism in Eukaryota, Metazoa, Nematoda, Chromadorea, Rhabditida, Strongyloididae.
CCAACGGCCCUCUUUAGGGCCACCAUCUUGAGCUUUUUAUUUUUU